This 309-nucleotide unclassified non-coding RNA is filed under the name plant metagenome. Its description in RNAcentral is "partial contains 5.8S ribosomal RNA, internal transcribed spacer 2, and large subunit ribosomal RNA". The stretch from base 1 to 105 matches the Rfam family "5.8S ribosomal RNA", at positions 50 to 154 of the family's 154-position model. The record is from RNAcentral.
GAAAUGCGAUAAGUAGUGUGAAUUGCAGAAUUCAGUGAAUCAUCGAAUCUUUGAACGCACAUUGCGCCCCUUGGUAUUCCAUGGGGCAUGCCUGUUCGAGCGUCAUUUGUACCCUCAAGCUCUGCUUGGUGUUGGGUGUUUGUCCCGUCUCCGCGCGUGGACUCGCCCCAAAGUGAUUGGCAGCCGGCGUACUGGUCCCGUAGCGCAGCACAUGUCGCGCAAACGAGUGCCUUGGUACGGCGGCGUCCAUAAGCCCCUCUCUCACGCUCUUGACCUCGGAUCAGGUAGGGAUACCCGCUGAACUUAAGC